ACAGAGGGUGCAAGCGUUAGUCGGAGUUACUGGGCGUAAAGGGCGUGUAGGCUGAUAUCUUAGUCGAUUGUGAAAUCCCUGGGCUUAACCUAGGAAUUGCAGUCGAUACUGGAUGUCUUGAGUAUGGUAGAGGAAGGUGGAAUUCUCGGUGUAGUGGUUAAAUACGUAGAUAUCGAGAAGAACAUCGGUGGCGAAGGCGGCCUUCUGGACCAAUACUGACGCUGAGGCGCGAAAGCGUGGGGAGCAAACAG
RNAcentral lists this ribosomal RNA (251 nucleotides) under uncultured prokaryote. RNAcentral's name for it is "partial 16S ribosomal RNA". It matches the Rfam family "Bacterial small subunit ribosomal RNA", at positions 525 to 775 of the family's 1533-position model. The record is from RNAcentral.